Molecule: RNA transcript, 2311 nt
Organism: Sapajus apella (tufted capuchin)
Lineage: Eukaryota; Metazoa; Chordata; Mammalia; Primates; Cebidae
Gene name: ADP-ribosylation factor 1 pseudogene
Exons: 1
Source: RefSeq, a predicted model, not a curated record
UGAAGCAAUUCAAUUGAGUGAAGCUCAAUUUCUUACCUAUAAAAUAGGGAUAAUGCUAGUCUUUCUGGCUUGUCAAUAAAGACUAAAUGAGAGAAUGUACCUGAAGGUGCCUCGUACGUGCCAUGACUGCUAACACGGAUGACUUUAUGGGGUGCUAAGCUUUGGUAGCUAUGAUUGUUGAUGAAAAGUGAGUAUCUAUUAUUCUGUCAUUAUUGUUUGGAGCUCUGAUUCCUGGAGAUUGAGGAAAUGUUUCAAGUGUCUGCUGUGUGAGCUGAGCGCUCCUAGGCUUUUAUCUGUAUUCAGGAGAUGGUAGAUGGCCCUGUACCGUCUUCAGGAAGCUUGCAGACUAGUGGUGGUAGGUCUGGGCUAUAAUCAUUGGCUGUUGGAAUUAGGAAUAUAACAACUCUUGGAAUAACUAGAGUUGCUUGGAGAAAGAACUGUGGCCAGAGCAGUUAGAAGGGGGAUGAUCAGACCAGCAGUCUUUCUUUCCAAGCCUGAGAUCAGCUGCAGAAGACUCAGAACUGAAGUGAAGCCCGGGGAUGACCCAGUCUUACUCUCUUGUUUUAUGCAUAAAAACAAGUCCUAGAAAGGCAAAAUGGAUUGCCCAGGAUUAUGUGGCUGUUUCGGGUUAUAUCCUGGACUAGAAUGUUGGAGUUCUGCUUCCAGGUUACACAUUUUUUUCAUCACGCUGAACUUUGCUCUCAACUCAUUCUCCAUUUAUGCCCUUUCUUCAGUUUUCCUUCUCCACUGCCCACCUAGCAGAACUCUAUGGAAGGCCACCCUGUCCAACAGUCAGGCUGCAGGACCUUCUUUAGGCUUCUGCCUCUUGGUCUGACAUGUAGGUAGAGCUCUCUCUGUUGCUGAGUUUCUCCAUUGGUGGAAACCAAGGGUUCAGUUGACACUGCAGGGCUGUGUAGGCAAGCAGCACUAGCAACCAGCAGGCAGGCAGCACAGACGGGCCCUGAGGGAGCUUUGGACAUCAGUACUUGACAGGGAUGUUCAGAACCUGGAGAGCUUCCAGAGGAGAGCAAUGAAAACAGUGAGUGGGAGUGAGAAGGAAGAACUCUCAGGAAAGAUGAAAGGGUUUCAGAUUAUUUAUCUUGGAGAACAGAAAGCUGAGGGUGGCUUUGAAAAGGAGUUUCAGAUAUAAGAGCAGCUGUAGUAUAUCUUCCUUGAGGAUAGACUAAGAAAUUAGCUAACAGCAGCAAUUAGGCUACAGAGGUUUUCAAACUUAGCUGCCUAUUAGAGACAUCCAGAGAGCUUUUUAAAAAAUAUCAGUGUUCAAGCGUCACCUCAGAACAAUUAAAUCAGAAUCUUCUCUUCAAGAGCGAGUGUUAAACAUCGGUCAUUUCCUUAAUGUUUCCCAGGGUAGCGGACAUGGAGAACCAUAGAGUUAAGGGUCAAGAUAAAAGCUCACUAAUUGGUCCCGCCAGAGCUGCCAUCUUGUGGGAGCGAAACCAACACUUGGCUCGGAGCAGCAGCCGCUGAGGUGUCCCUGGCCAGUGUCCUUCCACCUGCCCACAAGCAUGCGGAACGUCUUCGCCAACCUCUUCAAGGGCCUUUUUGGCAAAAAGGAAAUGCGCAUCCUCGUGGUGGGCCUGGAUGCUGCGGGGAAGACCACGAUCCUGUACAAGCUAAAGCUGGGCGAGAUGGUGACCACCAUUCCCACCAUAGGCUCCAUUGUGGAAACCGUGGAGUACAAGAACAUCAGCUUCACUGUGUGGGACGUGGGUGGCCAGGACAAGAUCCGGCCUCUGUGGCACCACGAGUUCCAGAACACACAAGGCCUGAUCUUCGUGGUGGACAGCAAUGACAGAGCGCGUGAACGAGGCCCGUGAGGAGCUCAUGAGGAUGCUGGCUGAGGACGAGCUCCGGGAUGCUGUCCUCCUGGUGUUCGCUAACAAGCAGGACCUCCCCAACGCCAUGAAUGCGGCCGAGAUCACAGACAAGCUGGGGCUGCACUCCCUACGCCACAGGAACUGGUACAUUCAGGCCACCUGUGCCAUCAGCGGCGACGGGCUCUAUGAAGGACUGGACUGGCGGUCCAAUCAGCUCCGGAACCAGAAGUGAAUGCGACCCCCCCCCACCACUCCUCUCACCCUCUGCUUUACUCUCAUGUGGCAAACGUGCAGCUCGUGGUGUGAGUGCCAGAAGCUGCCUCCGUGGGUUGGUCACCGUGUGCAUCGCACCGUGCUGUAAAUGUGGCAGACGCAGCCUGCAGCCAGGCUUUUUAUUUAAUGUAAAUAGUUUUUGUUUCCAAUGAGGCAGUUUCUGGUACUCCUAUGCAAUAUUACUCAGCUUUUUUUUUUUU